UCAGACUUCCCCCCAAUGAGAAGACCCAACAAGUGGAAUAUUUAAUUAAAUGUGGUAGAGUGUAAAGUUAGGGUUCCAAUUCAGAACCUGGCUCUGAUACCAUGUUAAAAUUGCAAAGAAUCUACUUUUUCCUUACUGCCAUACCAUUUUACAUUGAAAGAGAUUACAAUUAAAUAGAUACAUUGGCUAUGCUAUGUAUGAUAACCAUUGUGUAUAUGGUAACUAUGUAUAUUCUUAAUUCCUAAAAUCAUGUUGUUGCUGAUUUGGUUGAUCCUGUCAAUAGUUUUAUUGAACUGGUUGGGUGAGUGGCAAACCAUAUAUGAGUCCCCGCAUUGGUCAACCUGUGAAGAACUUGAGAGUGAAUUGUUGUAGCAAAAGGUCACUUCUGAUUGGUUUAACUCAGCCAUAUGUCCUGUGUCUUUUUUAAAAUUGGAGAGCCCCACCAAGAGGAGUGGAGGUCAAUUCCAUUGCUUUUGUCAUAGUCGAAGAAAAGUAAGGUAUAAAGGGGGAUUUCUCAUUUUGUUAAUAAAAUUUCUAUUAUAAAAAUGGCUCUUCUUUCUCAUAAUUCUCUCUCUCUCACUAUUUAUUUGUUUACAUGAUUUCUUAGGCCCUAUUACAUCGUUAGAGGUAACUUAUCUUUUCAACAUUCCAUUUUUACAUGACAUUUUCCUGUUGAGUCGGGCCCUUUUUUUAAAAUUCUUAUCUCAACUUUGAAAAUUGAAAUUCUGCAGAGUAAUCUGUUUGGCUUGCCAUGAUUGCUAAAAAAAGUAUUGAGCAAAGUGGAAGCAAGGAUGGCUGUUGGUAUGAGGAGGCACAUAAGAUGGCUGAAAGGGAUAUUGUAACAAACCUGAAUUUUGCAUGUCCAUUUUGGUGAAUAGUGUUGACAAAAAACAGCAGGAGUGUGGGGCUUAUGUCUAGAAUUUUUCCUAAAUUUUUUAUCCUCCCACCUUCUUGAGCGGUAAAGGGUGAAGUAUACCAAGUGGGUGACGGAUAAAAAGUGAAGCAACAGUUUCUCCCCUACGUUUUUAAUGGUUAGUUGCAGCAAUGGUAAGAGUAGAAUGAAUGUAUUUGGCUUUACAACUCAAUUUAGUGAAGAGAUAGCGGAUCCUGUCGGCAAGGCUGAGUAAUGCUGACUGCUCACCAACUAGAAAGAAAAGCUCUUUCACUCGUAUGGUGAAAAUGAGCAGACAUGUUUCUCCACUUUUCCUUAAUGCCAUACUUGGAGGAAUAACUUCAGGAGGGUCUUCAGCUAUUCAUCAAGUCUUGCAUGUGCUCGAAGAUUCUCGAACUUAAUAGAAGUAAGACUUUAUAUGCAGGUAUGGAAGACCCAGAUCAAGCCUAACGAUAUAAUGAGCUUUCAAUACUUUUGCAGCACUCAGAUCAGAAAUUCUGAAGAACAUGCUAGACUUCCAUGGAAGAAAAGUAUCAUUUAAUAAUACUGUUACUCGCAUGAGUGGAACCCCAAAGAGCUCGAGCCCCUCCUGUAGUUAUUCUCUAUACGAGGCUUCCCAGGAGAGAUCACUAACUUAAACUAUGUGAUGCCUCUUUAGAAAAAACAAAUAAAUAGUUUGGCUACUGAUGUUCUGAUUAUGUAGAUAAUGGUUUGUUUUACUAAGGUCUCAUCUAGACCUACUACUUUUGUUCCACUACUUUGUCUUUCUCCAUUAUCUUCUGCAAUGUGAAAAUUCUUGGUUAAAGUAAUUUACAUGGUACA
This is a long non-coding RNA of Juglans microcarpa x Juglans regia, 1714 nucleotides long. RefSeq lists it as uncharacterized. The transcript is spliced from 3 exons. Lineage: Eukaryota; Viridiplantae; Streptophyta; Magnoliopsida; Fagales; Juglandaceae. The record is from RefSeq and is a predicted model, not a curated record.